This 253-nucleotide ribosomal RNA is filed under the name uncultured bacterium. RNAcentral describes it as "partial 16S ribosomal RNA". It matches the Rfam family "Bacterial small subunit ribosomal RNA", at positions 524 to 776 of the family's 1533-position model. The record is from RNAcentral.
GACAGAGGGUGCAAACGUUGCUCGGAAUCACUGGGCGUAAAGGGCGUGUAGGCGGGACGGUAAGUCGGGCGUGAAAUCCCUAGGCUCAACCUAGGAACUGCACUCGAAACUACCAUUCUUGAGUGUCGGAGAGGAAAGCGGAAUUCCUGGUGUAGAGGUGAAAUUCGUAGAUAUCAGGAGGAACACCAGUGGCGAAGGCGGAUCUCUGGGCCAUUACUGACGCUGAGGAGCGAAAGCGUGGGGAGCGAACAGG